UAAGACCUUGCAGCUUUUGGAGCGGCCGAUGUCUGAUUAGCUAGUUGGUGGGGUAAUGGCCUACCAAAGCUUCGAUCAGUAGCUGGUCUGAGAGGACGGCCAGCCACACUGGGACUGAGACACGGCCCAGACUCCUACGGGAGGCAGCAGUGGGGAAUUUUGGACAAUGGGCGCAAGCCUGAUCCAGCCAUGCCGCGUGAGUGAAGAAGGCCUUCGGGUUGUAAAGCUCUUUCAGCCGGGAAGAAAAGGUUGCGAUUAAUAAUCGCAAUUUAUGACGGUACCGGAAGAAGAAGCACCGGCUAACUACGUGCCAGCAGCCGCGGUAAUACGUAGGGUGCGAGCGUUAAUCGGAAUUACUGGGCGUAAAGGGUGCGCAGGCGGUUUUGUAAGUCAGAUGUGAAAUCCCCGGGCUUAACCUGGGAACU
RNAcentral lists this ribosomal RNA (425 nucleotides) under uncultured bacterium. Its description in RNAcentral is "bacterial SSU rRNA". It matches the Rfam family "Bacterial small subunit ribosomal RNA", at positions 202 to 622 of the family's 1533-position model. The record is from RNAcentral.